This 406-nucleotide ribosomal RNA is filed under the name uncultured bacterium. RNAcentral's name for it is "partial 16S ribosomal RNA". It matches the Rfam family "Bacterial small subunit ribosomal RNA", at positions 30 to 526 of the family's 1533-position model. The record is from RNAcentral.
AUUGAACGCUGGCGGCAGGCCUAACACAUGCAAGUCGAACGAGUGUCAGACGGGUGAGUAAUGUCUGGGCAACUGCCUGAUGGAUGGGGAUAACUACUGGAAACGGUAGCUAAUACCGCAUACCAUCGGAUGUUCCCAGCUGGGAUUAGCGAGUAGGUGGGGUAAGGGCUCACCUAGGCGACGAUCCCUAGCUGGUCUGAGAGGAUGACCAGCAACACGGGAACGUAGACAAGGUCCAGACUCCUAGGGGAGGCAGCAGGGGGGAAUAUUGCAAAAUGGGCGAAAGCCGGAUGCAGCCAGGCCGCGUGUAUGAAGAAGUCCUUCGGGUUGUAAAGUACUUUCAGCGGGGAGGCGUUAUCCGCAGAAGAAGCACCGGCUAACUCCGUGCCAGCAGCCGCGGUAAUAC